GACGAACGCUGGCGGCGCGCCUAACACAUGCAAGUCGAACGAGCGAGAGAGAGCUUGCUUUCUCGAGCGAGUGGCGGACGGGUGGGUAACGCGUGAGGAAACUGCCUCAAAGGGGGGGACAACAGGUGGAAACGACUGCUAAUACCGCAUAGGCCCACGACGCGGCCACGGGUAGGGGGAAAAGGAGCAAUCGGCUUUGAGGUGGCCUCGCGUCCGAGUCGCUCGGUGGUGCGGUAACGGCCCACCAAGGCGACGAACGGUCGCCGGACUGGGAGGUUGAACGGCCACAUUGGGACUGCGACACGGCCCAGACUCCUGCGGGAGGCAGCAGUGGGGAAUAUUGCACAAUGGGGGAAACCCUGAUGCAGCGACGCCGCGUGGAGGAAGAAGGUCUUCGGAUUGUAAACGCCUGUUGUGGGGGAAGAUAAUGACGGUACUCAACAAGGAAGUGACGGCUAACUACGUG
Molecule: ribosomal RNA, 466 nt
Filed under: uncultured bacterium
Lineage: Bacteria
Description: partial 16S ribosomal RNA
Rfam family: Bacterial small subunit ribosomal RNA
Source: RNAcentral